AGCGUCUGGAAAGUCGCAGGGUACAGGGUGAUACUCCCGUACACAAAAACACACAUGCUGUGAGCUCGAUGAGUAAGGCGGGACACGUGGUAUCCUGUCUGAAUAUGGGGGGACCAUCCUCCAAGGCUAAAUACUCCUGACUGACCGAUAGUGAACCAGUACCGUGAGGGAAAGGCGAAAAGAACCCCGGCGAGGGGAGUGAAACAGAACCUGAAACCGUGUACGUACAAGCAGUGGGAGCCUUCUUUAUGGGGGUGACUGCGUACCUUUUGUAUAAUGGGUCAGCGACUUAUAUUCUGUAGCAAGGUUAACCGUAUAGGGGAGCCGCAGGGAAACCGAGUCUUAACUGGGCGUUAAGUUGCAGGGUAUAGACCCGAAACCCGGUGAUCUAGCCAUGGGCAGGUUGAAGGUUGGGUAACACUAACUGGAGGACCGAACCGACUAAUGUUGAAAAAUUAGCGGAUGACCUGUGGCUGGGGGUGAAAGGCCAAUCAAACCGGGAGAUAGCUGGUUCUCCCCGAAAGCUAUUUAGGUAGCGCCUCGUGAACUCAUCUUCGGGGGUAGAGCACUGUUUCGGCUAGGGGGCCAUCCCGGCUUACCAACCCGAUGCAAACUGCGAAUACCGAAGAAUGUUAUCACGGGAGACACACGGCGGGUGCUAACGUCCGUCGUGAAGAGGGAAACAACCCAGACCGCCAGCUAAGGUCCCAAAGUCAUGGUUAAGUGGGAAACGAUGUGGGAAGGCACAGACAGCCAGGAUGUUGGCUUAGAAGCAGCCAUCAUUUAAAGAAAGCGUAAUAGCUCACUGGUCGAGUCGGCCUGCGCGGAAGAUGUAACGGGGCUAAACCAUGCACCGAAGCUGCGGCAGCGACGCUUAGGCGUUGUUGGGUAGGGGAGCGUUCUGUAAGCCGUCGAAGGUGGCCUGUGAGGGCUGCUGGAGGUAUCAGAAGUGCGAAUGCUGACAUAAGUAACGAUAAAGCGGGUGAAAAGCCCGCUCGCCGGAAGACCAAGGGUUCCUGUUCAACGUUAAUCGGAGCAGGGUGAGUCGACCCCUAAGGCGAGGCCGAAAGGCGUAGUCGAUGGGAAACAGGUUAAUAUUCCUGUACUCGGUGUUACUGCGAAGGGGGGACGGAGAAGGCUAUAUCAGCCGGGCGACGGUUGUCCCGGUUUAAGCGUGUAGGCGGAGAGUUUAGGUAAAUCCGGACUCUUGUUAACGCUGAGGCGUGACGACGAGGCACUACGGUGCUGAAGUGAUAAAUGCCCAGCUUCCAGGAAAAGCCUCUAAGCAUCAGGUAACACAGAAUCGUACCCCAAACCGACACAGGUGGUCAGGUAGAGAAUACCAAGGCGCUUGAGAGAACUCGGGUGAAGGAACUAGGCAAAAUGGUGCCGUAACUUCGGGAGAAGGCACGCUGGCGCGUAGGUGGAGGGACUUGCUCCCCGAGCCGAAGCCAGUCGAAGAUACCAGCUGGCUGCAACUGUUUAUUAAAAACACAGCACUGUGCAAACACGAAAGUGGACGUAUACGGUGUGACGCCUGCCCGGUGCCGGAAGGUUAAUUGAUGGGGUUAUCCGCAAGGAGAAGCUCUUGAUCGAAGCCCCGGUAAACGGCGGCCGUAACUAUAACGGUCCUAAGGUAGCGAAAUUCCUUGUC
This 1654-nucleotide ribosomal RNA is filed under the name Mesorhizobium sp. Its description in RNAcentral is "partial 23S ribosomal RNA". It matches the Rfam family "Bacterial large subunit ribosomal RNA", at positions 337 to 1973 of the family's 2925-position model. The record is from RNAcentral. Lineage: Bacteria; Pseudomonadati; Pseudomonadota; Alphaproteobacteria; Hyphomicrobiales; Phyllobacteriaceae.